RNAcentral lists this ribosomal RNA (774 nucleotides) under uncultured Neocallimastigales. RNAcentral describes it as "partial large subunit ribosomal RNA". It matches the Rfam family "Eukaryotic large subunit ribosomal RNA", at positions 23 to 616 of the family's 3401-position model. Lineage: Eukaryota; Fungi; Neocallimastigomycota; Neocallimastigomycetes; Neocallimastigales. The record is from RNAcentral.
AGAGAGAGACAUGCGCGCAUAUCAAUAAGCGGAGGAAAAGAAACUAACAAGGAUUCCCCUAGUAACGGCGAGUGAAGCGGGAAGAGCUCAAAUUUGAAAUCUUAAAGGGUUUCCCUUUACGAAUUGUAGUUUAAAGAAGUGUUUUCUGUUGAGGUUUUGGUAAAAGUUCUUUGGAAUAGGACAUCAUAGAGGGUGAGAAUCCCGUAUUUGACCUUUACUUCCAACUUUGUGAUACACUUUCAAAGAGUCGGAUUGUUUGGGAAUGCAGUCCAAAAUGGGUGGUAAAUUUCAUCUAAAGCUAAAUAUUGGCGAGAGACCGAUAGCGAACAAGUACCGUGAGGGAAAGAUGAAAAGAACUUUGAAAAGAGAGUUAAACAGUACGUGAAAUUGUCAAAAGGGAAGCGUUUGACACCAGUGUUGUUUUUCUGAAAAUCAAUUAAAGAACUGUUUAUGCUAAGCUGUUUAGACUUUAUCAGCUAUCUGUUUAGUUUUGAGCUUUUCUUUAAUGCACUUUUCAGUUAACAAGUCAACAUCAAUUUCUUUUGCUGUAAAAAAGCUUGAGGAAGGUGGCUUGAGAUUCGUCUUAAGUGUUUAUAGCCUCUUGCCUAUGCAGUCGGAGAGAUUGAGGUCUGCAGCGUAGAUCCUUCGGGGCUAAAUGCAUUUGUGCUAAGUUAUAGCAUUUUAUAGACAACUUGUUGACUAUGAUUUGUCUUGUAGCUUACUCGCUUAUGUUAUUUUACCUACGCUUAGGAUGUUGAGCGCAUGUCUCUCUCU